UGGCUCAGAUUGAACGCUGGCGGCAGGCCUAACACAUGCAAGUCGAACGGUAACAUUUCUAGCUUGCUAGAAGAUGACGAGUGGCGGACGGGUGAGUAAUGCUUGGGAACUUGCCUUUGCGAGGGGGAUAACAGUUGGAAACGACUGCUAAUACCGCAUAAUGUCUUCGGACCAAACGGGGCUUAGGCUCCGGCGCAAAGAGAGGCCCAAGUGAGAUUAGCUAGUUGGUAAGGUAGCGGCUUACCAAGGCGACGAUCUCUAGCUGUUCUGAGAGGAAGAUCAGCCACACUGGGACUGAGACACGGCCCAGACUCCUACGGGAGGCAGCAGUGGGGAAUAUUGCACAAUGGGGGAAACCCUGAUGCAGCCAUGCCGCGUGUGUGAAGAAGGCCUUCGGGUUGUAAAGCACUUUCAGUUGUGAGGAAAAGUUAGUAGUUAAUACCUGCUAGCCGUGACGUUAACAACAGAAGAAGCACCGGCUAACUCCGUGCCAGCAGCCGCGGUAAUACGGAGGGUGCGAGCGUUAAUCGGAAUUACUGGGCGUAAAGCGCACGCAGGCGGUUUGUUAAGCUAGAUGUGAAAGCCCCGGGCUCAACCUGGGAUGGUCAUUUAGAACUGGCAGACUAGAGUCUUGGAGAGGGGAGUGGAAUUCCAGGUGUAGCGGUGAAAUGCGUAGAUAUCUGGAGGAACAUCAGUGGCGAAGGCGACUCCCUGGCCAAAGACUGACGCUCAUGUGCGAAAGUGUGGGUAGCGAACAGGAUUAG
RNAcentral lists this ribosomal RNA (764 nucleotides) under uncultured marine microorganism. Its description in RNAcentral is "bacterial SSU rRNA". It matches the Rfam family "Bacterial small subunit ribosomal RNA", at positions 20 to 781 of the family's 1533-position model. The record is from RNAcentral.